GAUGAAGAACGCAGCGAAAUGCGAUAAGUAGUGUGAAUUGCAGAAUUCAGUGAAUCAUCGAAUCUUUGAACGCACAUUGCGCCCUUUGGUAUUCCAAAGGGCAUGCCUGUUCGAGCGUCAUUUGUACCCUCAAGCUUUGCUUGGUGUUGGGCGUCUUGUCUCUAGCUUUGCUGGAGACUCGCCUUAAAGUAAUUGGCAGCCGGCGUAUUGAUUUCGGAGCGCAGUACAUCUCGCGCUUUGCACUCAUAACGACGACGUCCAAAAGUACAUUUUUACACUCUUGACCUCGGAUCAGGUAGGGAUACCCGCUGAACUUAAGCAUAUCAAUAAGCGGAGGA
Molecule: unclassified non-coding RNA, 338 nt
Filed under: soil metagenome
Description: partial contains 5.8S ribosomal RNA, internal transcribed spacer 2, and large subunit ribosomal RNA
Rfam family: 5.8S ribosomal RNA (bases 1-120)
Source: RNAcentral